AGGGUUCGAUCAUGGCUCAGGACGAACGCUGGCGGCGCGCCUAACACAUGCAAGUCGAACGGAGUUAUUAAGACGGAAGUUUUCGGACGGAAGACUUUUUAACUUAGUGGCGGACGGGUGAGUAACACGUGAGCAACCUGCCUUUCAGAGGGGGAUAACGUUUGGAAACGAACGCUAAUACCGCAUAACAUCAUAUUAGGGCAUCCUGAAAUGAUCAAAGGAGCAAUCCGCUGAGAGAUGGGCUCGCGCCUGAUUAGAUAGUUGGUAGGGUAACGGCCUACCAAGUCGACGAUCAGUAGCCGGACUGAGAGGUUGAUCGGCCACAUUGGGACUGAGACACGGCCCAG
Molecule: ribosomal RNA, 347 nt
Filed under: uncultured bacterium
Lineage: Bacteria
Description: bacterial SSU rRNA
Rfam family: Bacterial small subunit ribosomal RNA
Source: RNAcentral